GACGUAGGGAGCGAGCGUUGUCCGGAUUCAUUGGGCGUAAAGCGCGCGUAGGCGGCCACGCAAGUCGGUUGUGAAAUCCCGGGGCUCAACCCCGGGACUGCGUCCGAUACUGCGUGGCUCGAGGCAGGUAGGGGAGAUCGGAAUUCCUGGUGUAGCGGUGAAAUGCGCAGAUAUCAGGAGGAACACCGGUGACGAAGGCGGAUCUCUGGGCCUGUCCUGACGCUGAGGCGCGAAAGCUAGGGGAGCAAACAGG
This 253-nucleotide unclassified non-coding RNA is filed under the name uncultured Actinomycetes bacterium. RNAcentral describes it as "uncultured actinobacterium contains 16S-23S intergenic spacer region". It matches the Rfam family "Bacterial small subunit ribosomal RNA", at positions 524 to 776 of the family's 1533-position model. Lineage: Bacteria; Bacillati; Actinomycetota; Actinomycetes. The record is from RNAcentral.